CCUACGGGUGGCUGCAGUGGGGAAUAUUGCGCAAUGGGCGCAAGCCUGACGCAGCGAUGCCGCGUGAGGGAUGAAGGUCUUCGGGUCGUAAACCUCUUUCAGCAGGGAAGAACGGUCACUGUGCUAAUCAGCAGUGAAUUGACGGUACCUGCAACGGAAGCACCGGCUAACUCCGUGCCAGCAGCCGCGGUAAUACGGAGGGUGCGAGCGUUAAUCGGAAUUACUGGGCGUACAGCGCACGUAGGCGGUAUGUCAAGUCAAGGGUGAAAGCCCCGCGCUCAACGUGGGCACUGCCUUUGAUACUGGCAAACUGGAGUGUGUCAGAGGAGAGUGGAAGUCCACGUGUAGCAGUGAAAUCCGUAGAUAUCUGGAGGAAUAGCAGUGGCGAAGGCGACCAUCUGGGACAGAACUGACGCUGAGGAGCGAAAGCGUGGGUAGCAAACAGGAUUAGAUACCCCUGUAGUC
This 465-nucleotide ribosomal RNA is filed under the name uncultured bacterium. Its description in RNAcentral is "partial 16S ribosomal RNA". It matches the Rfam family "Bacterial small subunit ribosomal RNA", at positions 338 to 795 of the family's 1533-position model. The record is from RNAcentral.